Molecule: ribosomal RNA, 459 nt
Filed under: uncultured bacterium
Lineage: Bacteria
Description: partial 16S ribosomal RNA
Rfam family: Bacterial small subunit ribosomal RNA
Source: RNAcentral
CCUACGGGAGGCAGCAGUGAGGAAUAUUGGUCAAUGGGCGGGAGCCUGAACCAGCCAAGCCGCGUGAGGGAAGAAGGUACAGCGUAUCGUAAACCUCUUUUGUCAGGGAACAAAGGCGGGGACUCGUCCCCGGCUGAGGGUACCUGACGAAAAAGCAUCGGCUAACUCCGUGCCAGCAGCCGCGGUAAUCCGGAGGAUGCGAGCGUUAUCCGGAUUUAUUGGGUUUAAAGGGUGCGCAGCCGGCCUGUUAAGUCAGCGGUAAAAGCCCGGGGCUCAACCCCGGCGAGCCGUUGAAACUGGCGGGCUGGAGUUGGAGAGAAGUACGCGGAAUGCGCGGUGUAGCGGUGAAAUGCUUAGAUAUCGCGCAGAACCCCGAUUGCGAAGGCAGCGUACCGGCUCCACACUGACGCUGAGGCACGAAAGCGUGGGUAUCGAACAGGAUUAGAUACCCCAGUAGUC